AGGAAAAAGGACCUGUUCCCCUUUUGGAAAAGUAUCUUCUCCAGGGUGGAUUAUUAUUUGUUGGGUCGCACUGAGGCCACUAAUCCUUUAAUGUAAAGAAUGAUUAGGGCGAGUGGUGAGGAUAAAAUGAGAUUAAGAAAUAAGGCUUCUGACUUAGUUAUUAACAGUGAAAUUAUGAACAGAAUCAAUAAGACCACGCCAUAUAAUAAUGAAGCUAAGAAUAUUGAUGACUCUGCUAAGCCUUAGUUUUAUACUAAUAUAAGCUGCUACCUGUUUAAGUCAGACAAAGAUGCCCUCUCCGCCCAGUGUGAUAAGAGUAAGUCUGUCAUCUGGGCACUUGCAAAGUUGAGCCCCAGGACAGCAAGUUCAAGGCCAGUCUGGGCUGUACUGGAGUCUCUGUCUCAAAUAAACAAACAAGAAGAGGAUGCUUAUCAAGGUCAUAGAUAGGGUUGGGAUGUAGCUCAGGAUGGUACAGUGUUUGCCUUACAUGCACAAAGCGUUAAAGCCAGUGCUCAAGACUACAUGAACCACGUACUGUCGAACAUGCCUAUGAUCCAAGCACUUGGGAGGCUGAGGCUGGAAGAUCAGUUCAUCUUUGGCUUUACAAAGAGUUAAGAACUAGCUUGGAGCAUAGGAGAUCUUUCAAUGGAUAGCAAGUGACUAGAUAUCUUUAAUGGUUUUGGAAUGAAAAUUUAGAAUUGAAGCCUAUACAUUUAUGUUUCUUAGCCUAUGGUGGAAAAGAGGGCACCAAGUUUGUCAUUAUGGUAUUCGGGUCCAGUUAUAUCAUGGUAUUUGAAAACAGUGCAAGUUGUCAUUCAGUGUCUGCUCGGGUGGCUGCUGCUUUCUGAGGGACUGUUGGUGCUGGGAAAGACCAAGUAUGUCAGAAAUGCCUCAAAGGGACUCAGACCUUUAGUGCUUUAGUGGAGAGAGCAUACCUAGAACCAAAUGUCCUCUGGCAUUGACAGCAGGGCUACCAUUCCUCAACCCCAGGCCUUUAUAUACUCUGGAAAAAAAAAUCUCCAAUACAGUGUCAUUGUGAGUAUCAUCGAAACCCUUCGAGUAAGGAACAGGACCCAGAGCCUGAUGCCUGGUGAGAGUGAUCACGGGCACCAUGAAGGAAGAGCACAGUCACUUAAGGCAUGAUUGAUGGUUCUUCUUAGAAGAGUCCGCCAAACCCUGCCUUCAGAUUCAUCGCAACUAACCAAUUACAAGCUGCCAACCCUGAACCCCAUGUGUCUCUACUUCUAACUCCUUUCCUGGGGUCUGCUGCUCUACGGCUCAGAGAGAAGGUAAUUCCAUGGCUCCCAGCCAACUCUGAAAGCCUUCCUGUUUGGCAGCUGAGAAAGAGGAAGUGCCCCCCAGCACAGGGCAGCCGGGGCUCCACACCCCGGCCCGUCAGCAUGCUUGAACCUGGGUAAUUUAUACUCUGUUUCAUCGCCUCGUCCUACACACAUGAUGAAAUUUAUUUCUACUGAUAACCGGGAUUUUAGCCGUGCGGUGCUGAAGUCGGUGUGAUGAGCUGCCCCGUUUCUGUUGUUGUUGGAAUGUGUGCCGGGUUGGCCUGUGAAACUGAUGAAUGACUGCCUUGGCAGAUUCAUAAUCCAGGGUUUGGUGCAGCUGUGGAUGAAACUAAUAGCUAGCAGGGACCACUGAAGUCCCCGAGCUAAUACCUGUCUCCUCCAUCACAAAUUGAUGGCAUUAAACAAAAAAGUUGACUCUUUUCA
Rattus norvegicus (Norway rat) is the source of this 1724-nucleotide non-coding RNA. The record is from RefSeq and is a predicted model, not a curated record. NCBI's taxonomy places the organism in Eukaryota, Metazoa, Chordata, Mammalia, Rodentia, Muridae.